CCUUGCUAACUUUGGGAGUGGUGCACUAGUAGUAUCUUUAGCGAGCGCGCCGCCCACCUCAGGAUGGUGCCCCGACUCAUAACCAAACAAAACACCAUUGUUCCCUUCCGCCUACCACCACCCCUCCUUUCUGGCGACCGCCACCUCCGCCACUUCCUCUUCCGUGAUGGCCUUCUCCGCCGACGCUUCCUCCCCUAAGAAGGACCCACCCUCCCCCGCAGUGCUUGCCGCCUCCGCUGCAGCAGAGGCGGCGGCGUCCCGCUGUCAGUCACCUUCUCCGUCACCGUCCCCCUCGCCGGAAAGAUCCGCUUCCCUGCUUCCCCUACCGGCGUCUCUCCCGCCACCGCUGCCCUCCUCCUCCGCCACCCGCCGGCUGGCCGCCCCCAUAUGGACCCACGAGGAGAUCCUUGCCCUCAUCGGCGCCUACCGUGACAAGUGGUACGCCUUGCGUCGCGGCAACCUCCGCGCCUCCCACUGGCAGGAGGUCGCCGACGACGUCGCCGAUCGCUGCCCCUCCGGCCCCUCCCCGCCCAAGACCUACAUACAGUGCCGCCACAAGGUCGAGAAGCUCCGCAAGCGCUACCGCAGCGAGCGCCGCAAGUCCCUCCAGUUCGACACCUCCCUCCCUCCCUCCUCCUGGGUCUACUUCCGCAAGAUGCACGCCACGGAGCACGGUGGCAGCGUAGAAGUAGGCGAACCCCACCGACCGUCCGCCUGCCAAUCCUCGGUCCCGCCCCACCCGCCCUCCUCCGAUGACGAAGAGAAUGACGACUUCGAGCACCGCGGCGCUGGCGGCGGGAGCAACACCCAAAGUCUCCACCACCUCAUGACCAACGGCGGCUGCGCGAUCGGUGAGCUCAGAUUCACGAUCCCCAAGGCAGUCCGGUCCAAGGUCUAUAGAGCUGACGACAGGGUCGCGCCGAACCCUAACGCCGCCACCACCCGCUUCUUCAAGGGUUUCAGCGGCGUGGGGCCCGUGAAGGAGGAGAUGCGGCGCAAGAUGGAGAAGAAGAUGAGGAGGAGGAGGAGGAGGAGGAGGAGGAGGAGGAGGUUGGAGAUGGAGUCGAGUGCGGUCAGGGAAAUGGUGUCGGCGCUGAGAAUGCUGGGUGACGGGUGCCUGAGGAUGGAACAAAGGAAGAUGGAGAUGGCGCGGGAGAUAGAGGAGGAGAGGAUGGAGAUGGAGCUGAAGCGCACGGAGCUUAUCCUCGACUCACAGCGCCGCAUCCUCGAUGCGUUCUUGAAGGGUCUCUCCGGGAAGAAGCGGGCGAAGGUGUCGGCCGAGGAUUGACAAGGUUCCAUUCAUAUCAGAAAGGGGAAUCCACAUCCAUGAUUGAGAUAUGUUGAUGCAGUCUGCCAGCUGAGCUGUUGUUUCUUUAUUUAUUUAACGGUGUAAGGAAAUCACAUAUUCUUUGGAUGCAAGGUUCGUAGAUAUUUUUUGGAUCAAGUUAUUAAAGUGGCUGUCUAGCCAUAUGCAACCUUUUAACCGAGGAAAAGCUAUUGUUGUUAAAGCUCCAUUAGCACGUUGCCAGGUAAUUGAGCUAUAUAUUUAACAAUAUAUGACUUAUUUUCUGGAGUACUCUGUCUCCCUUGCAUUGUUAUGUUUCUUGGUAUGUGCAAAUUUAUUCAUAUGAAUUGUUAAAAUUGCACAUCCAUCUCUGGAGAUAUUGACACCUUCAUCCUCAAACUGAAAUUUUAUAAAUGUCAUGAUAUGCAGGUAUGCAUAUAUGUCCAUGUCCAAACUUUUCAAUGAUAAAUGUGCAACAGAAGUUUGCAGAGCAUUUAUUCUAUUCACCUCUGUAUGUUGUUUCUAUCUUUGUUAUUGGCUCUUGCAUAAAUAUAAAUUUAUGCAUUAAUGACUUGUUGGAAUGUCUAAGAUCUUAAAAAUUGGAUGUUACAUAAUGUCUUGGUGCAACUGAAGGAGUCCAGUUCAGUGAGUACAAUUUGUCUAGGAAGAACUAAAAUUUGUUAUUUGGAUCUUGGACCAACAAAAUGGAUUAAAUCCUAGUAAUAUGUUGUGCAGUGCAAUCAUCAUGAACCAUAAUGGAGGAUCAUAUAAUUUGGGUUUGUGAACAAACUGCCACUAAGGCUUAAAGAUUCUGACAUGCUAACUGCUUUGUCAGCAAAAUAGAAGAAGUUCUAGUUACAUGGUGCAUUGCAUAUCAGGGCAAGGCACCAAAACUUUAUGUUGUUUUCUAGGGCCUUAGAUAACUCAUUAAGCAUUCUAGAAUCAAAUGAUUGGUUUGGAUGAGAAUAUUCAACAUCAUUUUUGGUAGGCAGUGGAUUGAUAGUGAUAACAUGACUGCUAAAGAUGAGUCUAUUUAAUUGAAUUAAUUUAAUUAUUAAAGAUAGUCUUGUGAUUGCUAACACAUGAUAGAAGCCUACUACUGCUGAAUAUUUGAGGUGGAUUUGUUUCUCAACUUAAUGUUUGUGUAAGAAAAGUUAGUCGAUGAUGUUUGAGCAUUCGCUUCUUUCUAAUGUCUAUUAAUUUUCUAUUGGCCUCUAUGGAUUGAUCACAGGUUAUAACAUAAUUGGAGCACUUAUAUGUCUUGAUCUUAUACUAAUUCGGUCAAUACAGAUCUCAUAACAUUUUCUUAUAUAUUUAUCAGUUGCCAAUUAAAAUGAAACAUUUCAUUCUUAUGAAGAUGGACCAGAUUGAUGCUGUUAUAAUUAAAGGCUGGCAAGCAAGGCCCACUUUUUGUUGUGACUAAUUUCAUUUGUUCUGAUUAGUCUUGUGAAGACCGACAGAUAGAUAAGUCGAUUAAUUUAAGUGGAAGCUUCACUCUUAGAAAUUAACUUAUGACCUAUUGUUGGAACAUUCAUCCUUGUGGCUGGUCUUCUUGUUGUUAGUGAAGGCUUAUGGUAUACUUAAGAAGAUUUCACCAACUAGGUUCUUCGUACAGCUUUUAGUUAUAUACUAUAAAGUAAUAGCAUUCGUGCAUCGCUAGCAGAGAAAGGAACACCUUGGGUUGUAAGGGAAUACAAAGGAUGAUGUCUAUAUUAUGUAAAAGAGUUUGCCAUUAAGGAUAUCUGCAAAUAAUACAUUGUUGGAUAAUGCAGUUUUACAGUAAUUUGUAAGUGAUGGUAACGUUCCUCUAUUACUACUUGGGCUUCAUGGGUGUCAAUUAGAAAGUUUCUGAUUCAAGAUUGCAUAUUUUUGUUUUGUUCCUUCCGAACAUGGCUGUGCCAAGAAACUUGUGCAGGGCUGUCUGAAAUGAAGAGUAUAGAAGUGUACUUAAAGUAAAAGGGAGAUCAGUGCAUAAUAAGAAAGCUGAAAAUAUUGGUACUUUAUCUGGAGAGGAAUCUGUAGCUUCUUUUUGGGGUAUAUGCAUGAUUGUUUCAUGAUUCUUAUUUUGAAGAUAUCAACUCUUAUUGACAUGAGACACCAACUGCCAAUUUGUCUGAGAGCCCUCUUCUCAGCUUUGCCAGAGUUAUCUCAUUUGUUAAUAUUUGUUUUUAUCUCGUUUGUUAGUAUUUGUUGCUAGAUGAGUCACAUUGCCCCUUUUGGGUUAAGGAAAUAUAAUGCACUUAGAUGCACACUGUGGUGGUUGUUACUUUGAUUUUCAUGAGAAGGUGGUUUCAUUGUUAAGCCAGCUAAAAGAUACCAGUUUGAGUACCUAAUACAACUUUCUGUAUGUCUUGUUGGGCUUCAUUAGCUGAAGUGUAGUAGUCAGGGCCAUCAAUUUGCUCACUUGAACCAAAUUAUGAGUUACCGUUUCAUUGUUUAUUUGUUUCUCUAAAUCUAAGAUUGCUGUAGCAGUGAUCAUCAUGUUCUGCUGUUAGUCUUGGGAAACCUACAUCUUUUUGUUUCUGAAAAUACUACUCCUGUUUAUGUCUGGGUAAUCUGGGAAGUCAAGAGACCUCAGAUGUUCUUUCUGGCUUAUUCAAAAGCUGGAUUGCUCUUGUUUCAGGGUGUUGCUUUAUCAGAGACUUAGGAAGUGGAUGCCAAGUUGAGGUGGAUCCAAGUGCUUUUAGCUGCUAAAAAGAAUCUUGUUGGCAUUCAGAAUUUAGAUGAUGAUUUGUUCCCUUCAUGUCCUUAAUGAUGAUCUUCUCUGGAUCUUGCUUUUCUGUUGUAUUUCUAUUCAGGUCCUGCCACAGAACUGGAGCAAGUGAUGAUGGGUUCCAUGACGGUCGAACAAUCAUUCGACUUGGUUGCCAAUUCAGAUUCUGGACAUCCAAUGGGAAGUCCACAUGGAAACUUAAUGUAAGCUAUCUAACUUGAUGACUUUUACUCUGAGCACAGCCAUUUGGUUAUUCUGUUUGACAUUUCUUGCUUUGAGGACCACCUGCUGAGGCAGUCAGUGGUCCAGGCAAUAGAUUCAUUGAUUGCUAUAGUUGGAUCAUCACCUGUGAUUACAGAUACUGAAAGCAUGGCAUCCCAUUGACUUACUCGUGCACAUCCAGUUGGAAGUGGAAAUUUCCUCCUUGAUGCUUGGCUUUUUUUUCUUUUUUAUUCUUUCGUGGCCAAUGCAUGGUGGUCCUUGUCAAAUUCAAAUGAUUCCAUGGUCCUGGAGGAAAAUUGGGACCGUCGUUCAAUUGCUGUAGCAUGAAAGUGAUUUAGUUGUUUUUGCUCGUUCAAUCGCUUGAAAACUUUAAUGUAGAUUUACAUGCUUUUAUCUUCCAUCUAUUCAAGCAAUGCAGAUCUUUUUCUGGAGACAUGUUUUGAGAGUAUUCCCAACAUGAAAAGCCGCACAAUCCAACAAAAAUGUGUUCUGCAUGAGAAUUAGGUUGCUUGGCAUGGCAUGGCAUGGCAUUUGAGCCACCCCAAAAGGGCAACAGAGGUCAACAACACUGGCGCGCUACGGCCCCUGUACCUCCAGCUUUCCCUGCUGCGGCGGAGAUGGUUCGCCAUGGUUGCCCUCGGAAGCCCCCCUUUCCAUCUCCAUCUCCUCCGCGUGGAACGUGGAGUGAACGCCAUACAGCGCAUAGAACAAGGUGAUGAAGCAGCUCCACAAGACAAACCUCAGGAAGGACCUCUUCUUGAGGCUAGCCAUGAGGAACACGCUGAGGAAGAUGGAGGCAGCCGCCGGCCACGGCAUCAGCGGAACCGACCACUCCGCCGUGCUGCGGUUGCAUGGGACUUUGCGGUGGAAGAUCCCGGUGAUGGCGAUGGCGGCCGUGCCGAACAUUGCUAGUCCCCACCAGUACCCGCCGUUGAGCUUCCAUGAAAGGGAAAAGCCAAUCGAAGUCGACGUGAGCAGCAGAAGGAAGAGGAGAGUGGGGAGGGGACUGCUGAUGCCGCCGCUGACGCCGAGCUUCACGUAGCGUCGGUAGAUGAGUGCGCCGGCCACCAGGUAGAAUACUAGCAGCGUUCCGAUCGAUAUCAUCUCGAUUACUAUUUCGAGGUCCGUGAAGAGUGCGAUGGACGCUGUACAUAUCCCUGCAUUAUGAAGGAGAAAUCUUCUUAUAUACAUAUAUAUUAUAUUGACAUGACAUAGAUUAGA
Musa acuminata AAA Group (dessert banana) is the source of this 5441-nucleotide RNA transcript. It is a transcript of the gene named trihelix transcription factor ENAP2-like, with no coding region annotated. The transcript has 4 exons. NCBI's taxonomy places the organism in Eukaryota, Viridiplantae, Streptophyta, Magnoliopsida, Zingiberales, Musaceae. The record is from RefSeq and is a predicted model, not a curated record.